GUGCUCACUUUGGGAGCACGUAUACUAAAAUUAGAGCCAUCCAGAGAAACUUAGCAUGACCCUGUACAAGGAUGACAUGCAAAUUUGUAAAUCAUUCCACAUUUUU
Molecule: small nuclear RNA, 106 nt
Organism: Sorex fumeus (smoky shrew)
Lineage: Eukaryota; Metazoa; Chordata; Mammalia; Eulipotyphla; Soricidae
Source: RefSeq, a predicted model, not a curated record